ACGCUCGACACCUACGGGGGCAGCAGUCGGGAAUAUUGCGCAAUGGAGGAAACUCUGACGCAGUGACGCCGCAUAUAGGAAGAAGGUUUUCGGAUUGUAAACUAUUGUCGUUAGGGAAGAUACAAGACAGUACCUAAGGAGGAAGCACCGGCUAACUAUGUGCAGCAGCCGCGGUAAUCUGAGCGGGCUGGCAAGGC
RNAcentral lists this ribosomal RNA (197 nucleotides) under uncultured bacterium. Its description in RNAcentral is "partial 16S ribosomal RNA". It matches the Rfam family "Bacterial small subunit ribosomal RNA", at positions 328 to 539 of the family's 1533-position model. The record is from RNAcentral.